Molecule: long non-coding RNA, 232 nt
Filed under: Medicago truncatula (barrel medic)
Lineage: Eukaryota; Viridiplantae; Streptophyta; Magnoliopsida; Fabales; Fabaceae
Description: long non-coding RNA (MTRU_LNC000484)
Source: RNAcentral
UGGGCUCAGAGGCGCGCGUUGGGCCUCACGGGUUGGGGAAAUUGGGCUUAAACCGGUUCGGUUUAAGCCUGGUUCGGUUCAGGAGAACCGAACCGGUUCAGGGUACUAUAUAUACGUGGUGUGCCGGUUUUUUCUUUAUUUUAACACCUUCAUUCUCUCUCUUCCCUAUUUUCUCUCAAAAAUUGCUCUCUUCUCUCUCUUCCUAUUCUUCUUCUCCGACGGCAAGUUGAGG